AGUGAACGCUGGCGGUAGGCCUAACACAUGCCAGUCGAACGGCAGCACAGUAAGAGCUUGCUCUUACGGGUGGCGAGUGGCGGACGGGUGAGGAAUACAUCGGAAUCUACUUUUUCGUGGGGGAUAACGUAGGGAAACUUACGCUAAUACCGCAUACGACCUACGGGUGAAAGCAGGGGAUCUUCGGACCUUGCGCGAUUGAAUGAGCCGAUGUCGGAUUAGCUAGUUGGCGGGGUAAAGGCCCACCAAGGCGACGAUCCGUAGCUGGUCUGAGAGGAUGAUCAGCCACACUGGAACUGAGACACGGUCCAGACCCCUACGGGAGGCAGCAGUGGGGAAUAUUGGACAAUGGGCGCAAGCCUGAUCCAGCCAUACCGCGUGGGUGAAGAAGGCCUUCGGGUUGUAAAGCCCUUUUGUUGGGAAAGAAAAGCAGCAGGUUAAUACCCCGCUGUUCUGACGGUACCCAAAGAAUAAGCACCGGCUAACUUCGUG
Molecule: ribosomal RNA, 492 nt
Filed under: uncultured bacterium
Lineage: Bacteria
Description: partial 16S ribosomal RNA
Rfam family: Bacterial small subunit ribosomal RNA
Source: RNAcentral